Non-coding RNA from Acanthosepion pharaonis, 114 nucleotides. The record is from the annotation of a GenBank genome assembly. Lineage: Eukaryota; Metazoa; Mollusca; Cephalopoda; Sepiida; Sepiidae.
AUACGGCCACAUCACGUUGAAACAUCGGUUCUCGUAAGAUCAUCAAAAUUAAGGGACGUUGAGCUUGGUCAGUACCUUGAUGGGUGACCGCUGGCGAAUACCAGGUUCUGUAAG